Molecule: long non-coding RNA, 113 nt
Organism: Sinocyclocheilus anshuiensis
Lineage: Eukaryota; Metazoa; Chordata; Actinopteri; Cypriniformes; Cyprinidae
Exons: 3
Source: RefSeq, a predicted model, not a curated record
GGUGAAUAAAUUAUGACCAUUUUCAUUUUUUGGUGAACUAACCCUUUAAAGAGCAGCCCUCCACGUCCAUGAAAAUUUGUGAGGUAUGUGAAUGUCAUCGAACUCCACCGCAG